Molecule: long non-coding RNA, 645 nt
Organism: Drosophila serrata
Lineage: Eukaryota; Metazoa; Arthropoda; Insecta; Diptera; Drosophilidae
Source: RefSeq, a predicted model, not a curated record
GUAACUCUCCGUCCUGUGUUAUUAACUAAUUCCACCUUUAGAUUAAGCCCGAACAAGCCAAGAAGGCAGAAGGAAACAUUUUCAACAACCAGUAGCCAUUUGCUGACAUUUCUGGCCAUUUCUAAGACAAAAUCAAAAUACUCUCCUAAAAUGAAAUAAAAAAUGAAUUCUUUAGAAAUGCCAUCAGUCUAAAGAUAUUUUUGUAUGACACACGUGGUGGAGAGAGGCUCGGCGAUAAGCGGUUGGAAUUCAACCGGAGUCUGGUAACAGACUGGAGUUACUGUGGAAUUAAAUUGGCCAGUUCCUUAACUUGUUAAAUGCCCAAAAUUUGCACUCUUAACGACGUAAGAUAAAAAGACGAUUGCACAUUUAAGUUCAACGACGUUUCGGUUUAAAAGCUUGGAUAUAGAAAACUAUAAUUGAUUUCUUACGGAAAAUGUUCCAUGUUCAAUCUCCAUAUCUAACUAGAUUACACCAAUGGGUAUUUAUACAGAGUUCUGCCCGAUGUAUCUUCAAAACGUUUCAAUCAAAAUUUCAAAUGAAAUACUUGUGUCUCAUUUUGUUCGCCACGUCAGUGGCUGGCCGGUUCACGGAAGACUUUUAUCGACUCUUAGCCAAGGAUAAUGCCCAGAAGAAUCUUAUUGC